This 294-nucleotide ribosomal RNA is filed under the name Ariolica argentea. Its description in RNAcentral is "partial 28S rRNA". It matches the Rfam family "Eukaryotic large subunit ribosomal RNA", at positions 95 to 367 of the family's 3401-position model. The record is from RNAcentral. Lineage: Eukaryota; Metazoa; Arthropoda; Insecta; Lepidoptera; Nolidae.
GAACAGGAAUACGAAGCCCAGCACUGAAUCCCGCCGUUUUCAAGGGCGGCGGGAGAUGUGGUGUUCGGGAGGUUCCGCUUUCUCGUCGCGCCCACUCCUGUCCAAGUUCGUCUUGAACGGGGCCGUUUUCCCGUAGAGGGUGCCAGGCCCGUAGCGACGGAGGGACGCGGCGAGAGGGACUCUCCUUAGAGUCGGGUUGCUUGAGAGUGCAGCCCUAAGUGGGUGGUAAACUCCAUCUAAGGCUAAAUAUUACCGCGAGACCGAUAGCGAACAAGUACCGUAAGGGAAAGUUGA